RNAcentral lists this ribosomal RNA (253 nucleotides) under uncultured bacterium. RNAcentral describes it as "partial 16S ribosomal RNA". It matches the Rfam family "Bacterial small subunit ribosomal RNA", at positions 524 to 776 of the family's 1533-position model. The record is from RNAcentral.
UACGUAGGAGGCAAGCGUUGUCCGGAGUUACUGGGCGUAAAGCGCACGCAGGCGGUCCCAUUAGUCUGUAGGGACAGGGCACGGCUCAACCGUGUCAGGCUUACGGAAACUGUGGGACUUGAAGGCUUCAGAGGGAUGGGGAAUUCCGGGUGGAGUGGUGAAAUGCGUAGAGAUCCGGAAGAACACCAAAGGCGAAGGCACCAUCCUGGGGAGUCACUGACGCUCGGGUGCGAAAGCUAGGGGAGCGAACGGG